This 367-nucleotide ribosomal RNA is filed under the name uncultured bacterium. RNAcentral's name for it is "bacterial SSU rRNA". It matches the Rfam family "Bacterial small subunit ribosomal RNA", at positions 527 to 896 of the family's 1533-position model. The record is from RNAcentral.
GGAGGAUCCAAGCGUUAUCCGGAUUUAUUGGGUUUAAAGGGUGCGUAGGCGGUUUGAUAAGUUAGAGGUGAAAUGUUAGGGCUUAACCCUGAAACUGCCUCUAAUACUGUUGGGCUAGAGAGUAGUUGCGGUAGGCGGAAUGUAUGGUGUAGCGGUGAAAUGCUUAGAGAUCAUACAGAACACCGAUUGCGAAGGCAGCUUACCAAACUAUAUCUGACGUUGAGGCACGAAAGCGUGGGUAGCAAACAGGAUUAGAUACCCUGGUAGUCCACGCAGUAAACGAUGAUAACUCGUUGUCGGCGAUACACAGUCGGUGACCAAGCGAAAGCGAUAAGUUAUCCACCUGGGGAGUACGUUCGCAAGAAUG